AAGUCGUAACAAGGUAUUCGUAGGUGAACCUGCGUAUGGAUCAUUACCGUUUUGGUUGAAUUUCUUCAAUUCAAUCAUAAACAUUUCUAUUCACUUCGCGCAAUUGUUCUAGUUCUUCUAGAAUAAUUGUGUCGCACCAUUAUGUCUGAAACAAGACUUCACUUCUAUAUAUGACUAGCAAUACAAGCAUGUUUUCAUCUCAUUUCGUAUGAGCAUGUUAAUGUGUAUACGUUGUUAGUCGUAUGAAGUCUUGUUUAACAACCUUUCCAUUCAACAAAUCAUUGUUGUUUGUCAUUGAAUAUGAAUCGAAUGUACAUACAGAAUAAAAAUAACAAUUCUGUACGGUGGAUCACUCGGCUCGU
This 362-nucleotide unclassified non-coding RNA is filed under the name air metagenome. RNAcentral's name for it is "partial contains small subunit ribosomal RNA, internal transcribed spacer 1, and 5.8S ribosomal RNA". The stretch from base 1 to 46 matches the Rfam family "Eukaryotic small subunit ribosomal RNA", at positions 1786 to 1831 of the family's 1831-position model. The record is from RNAcentral.